GAAAUGCGAUAAGUAAUGUGAAUUGCAGAAUUCAGUGAAUCAUCGAAUCUUUGAACGCACCUUGCGCUCCUUGGCAUUCCUUGGAGCAUGCCUGUUUGAGUAUCAUGAAAUCUUCAAAGUAAAUCUUUUGUUAACUCAAUUGGUUUCUACUUUGGUAUUGGAGGUCUUUGCAGCUUCACACCUGCUCCUCUUUGUUCAUUAGCUGGAUCUCAGUGUUAUGCUUGGUUCCACUCGGCGUGAUAAGUUAUCUAUCGCUGAGGACACUGUAAAAGGUGGCCAAGGUAAAUGCAGAUGAACCGCUUCUAAUAGUCCAUUGACUUGGACAAUACUUUUAUGAUCUGACCUCAAAUCAGGUAGGACUACCCGCUGAACUUAAGC
RNAcentral lists this unclassified non-coding RNA (378 nucleotides) under plant metagenome. RNAcentral describes it as "partial contains 5.8S ribosomal RNA, internal transcribed spacer 2, and large subunit ribosomal RNA". The stretch from base 1 to 105 matches the Rfam family "5.8S ribosomal RNA", at positions 50 to 154 of the family's 154-position model. The record is from RNAcentral.